UACGGGGGGGGCAAGCGUUGUUCGGAAUUACUGGGCGUAAAGGGCUCGUAGGUGGCCAACUAAGUCAGACGUGAAAUCCCUCGGCUUGACCGGGGAACUGCGUCUGAUACUGGAUGGCUUGAGUUUGGGAGAGGGACGCGGAAUUCCAGGUGUAGCGGUGAAAUGCGUAGAUAUCUGGAGGAACACCGGUGGCGAAGGCGGUUCUCUGGGCCUGACCUGACGCUGAGGAGCGAAAGCGUGGGGAGCGAACAGG
This 253-nucleotide ribosomal RNA is filed under the name uncultured bacterium. RNAcentral describes it as "partial 16S ribosomal RNA". It matches the Rfam family "Bacterial small subunit ribosomal RNA", at positions 524 to 776 of the family's 1533-position model. The record is from RNAcentral.